RNAcentral lists this ribosomal RNA (409 nucleotides) under uncultured microorganism. RNAcentral's name for it is "bacterial SSU rRNA". It matches the Rfam family "Bacterial small subunit ribosomal RNA", at positions 9 to 414 of the family's 1533-position model. The record is from RNAcentral.
GAGUUUGAUCCUGGCUCAGAUUGAACGCUGGCGGCAUGCCUUACACAUGCAAGUCGAACGGCAGCGUGAUCUAGCUUGCUAGAUUGAUGGCGAGUGGCGAACGGGUGAGUAAUACAUCGGAACGUGCCCUGUAGUGGGGGAUAACUAGUCGAAAGAUUAGCUAAUACCGCAUACGACCUGAGGGUGAAAGUGGGGGACCGCAAGGCCUCAUGCUAUAGGAGCGGCCGAUGUCUGAUUAGCUAGUUGGUGGGGUAAAGGCCCACCAAGGCGACGAUCAGUAGCUGGUCUGAGAGGACGAUCAGCCACACUGGGACUGAGACACGGCCCAGACUCCUACGGGAGGCAGCAGUGGGGAAUUUUGGACAAUGGGCGAAAGCCUGAUCCAGCAAUGCCGCGUGUGUGAAGAAGG